RNAcentral lists this ribosomal RNA (450 nucleotides) under uncultured bacterium. RNAcentral's name for it is "partial 16S ribosomal RNA". It matches the Rfam family "Bacterial small subunit ribosomal RNA", at positions 29 to 523 of the family's 1533-position model. The record is from RNAcentral.
AGCGAACGCUGGCGGCAGGCCUAACACAUGCAAGUCGAACGAAGUCUUCGGACUUAGUGGCGGACGGGUGGGUAACACGUGGGAACGUACCUUUUGGUUCGGAAUAACUGAGGGAAACUUCAGCUAAUACCGGAUAAGCUCUUCGGAGGAAAGAUUUAUCGCCCAUUAGAGCGGCCCGCGUUGGAUUAGGUAGUUGGUGUGGUAAAGGCGCACCAAGCCUACGAUCCAUAGCCGGUCUGAGAGGAUGAUCAGCCACACUGGGACUGAGACACGGCCCAGGCUGCUACGGGAGGGAGCAGUGGGGAAUCGUUCGCAAUGGUCGAAAGGCUUAAGCAGCCAUGCCGCGUGGAUGAUGAAGGUCUUAGGAUUGUAAAAUUCUUUUAGCAGGGACGAUAAUGGCGGUACCUGCAGAAAAAGCCCCGGCUAACUUCGUGCCAGCCGCCGCGGUAA